UGGGGAAUUUUGGACAAUGGGGGCAACCCUGAUCCAGCCAUCCCGCGUGUGCGAUGAAGGCCUUCGGGUUGUAAAGAACUUUUGGCAGGGAAGAAACAGCCUGGGCUAAUAUCCCGGGCGACUGACGGUACCUGCAGAAUAAGCACCGGCUAACUACGUCCCAGCAGCCGCGGUAAUACGUAGGGUGCAAGCGUUAAUCGGAAUUACUGGGCGUAAAGCGUGCGCAGGCGGUUCGGAAAGAAAGGUGUGAAAUCCCAGGGCUUAACCUUGGAACUGCACUUUUAACUACCGGGCUAGAGUACGUCAGAGGGGGGUAGAAUUCCACGUGUAGCAGUGAAAUGCGUAGAGAUGUGGAGGAAUACCGAUGGCGAAGGCAGCCCCCUGGGAUGAUACUGACGCUCAUGCACGAAAGCGUGGGGAGCAAACA
This 427-nucleotide ribosomal RNA is filed under the name uncultured bacterium. RNAcentral's name for it is "bacterial SSU rRNA". It matches the Rfam family "Bacterial small subunit ribosomal RNA", at positions 355 to 774 of the family's 1533-position model. The record is from RNAcentral.